This 433-nucleotide ribosomal RNA is filed under the name uncultured bacterium. Its description in RNAcentral is "bacterial SSU rRNA". It matches the Rfam family "Bacterial small subunit ribosomal RNA", at positions 368 to 793 of the family's 1533-position model. The record is from RNAcentral.
ACAAUGGGGGAAACCCUGAUGCAGCCAUGCCGCGUGUGUGAAGAAGGCCUUCGGGUUGUAAAGCACUUUCAGUAGGGAGGAAGGUAGUGUAGUUAACACCUGCACUAUUUGACGUUACCUACAGAAGAAGCACCGGCUAACUCCGUGCCAGCAGCCGCGGUAAUACGGAGGGUGCGAGCGUUAAUCGGAAUUACUGGGCGUAAAGCGCAUGCAGGCGGCCUGUUAAGUCAGAUGUGAAAGCCCCGGGGCUUAACCUCGGAAUUGCAUUUGAAACUGGCAGGCUAGAGUCUUGUAGAGGGGGUAGAAUUUCAGGUGUAGCGGUGAAAUGCGUAGAGAUCUGAAGGAAUACCAGUGGCGAAGGCGGCCCCCUGGACAAAGACUGACGCUCAGAUGCGAAAGCGUGGGGAGCAAACAGGAUUAGAUACCCUGGGAG